GAUGAAGAACGUAGCGAAAUGCGAUAAGUAAUGUGAAUUGCAGAAUUCAGUGAAUCAUCGAAUCUUUGAACGCACAUUGCGCCCGCCAGUAUUCUGGCGAGCAUGCCUGUUCGAGCGUCAUUUCAACCAUCAAGCCCCAGGCUUGCGUUGGAGCCCUGCGGCUGCCGCAGCCUCCCAAAACCAGUGGCGGGCUCGCUAUCACACCGAGUGCAGUAGUUUACUCUUCGCUCAGGGCGUGUGGCGGGUGCUAGCCGUGAAACCCCCAACUUCUCAAGGUUGACCUCGGAUCAGGUAGGAAUACCCGCUGAACUUAAGCAUAUCAAUAAGCGGAGGA
Molecule: unclassified non-coding RNA, 334 nt
Filed under: soil metagenome
Description: partial contains 5.8S ribosomal RNA, internal transcribed spacer 2, and large subunit ribosomal RNA
Rfam family: 5.8S ribosomal RNA (bases 1-120)
Source: RNAcentral